Molecule: ribosomal RNA, 426 nt
Filed under: bacterium Ellin602
Lineage: Bacteria; Pseudomonadati; Acidobacteriota; Terriglobia; Terriglobales; Acidobacteriaceae
Description: bacterial SSU rRNA
Rfam family: Bacterial small subunit ribosomal RNA
Source: RNAcentral
AAUCAACGCUGGCGGCGUGCCUAACACAUGCAAGUCGCACGAGAAAACGGUAGCAAUACCGUGAGUAAAGUGGCGCACGGGUGAGUAACACGUGACUAACCUACCCUAGAGUGGGGGAUAACCUCGGGAAACCGGGGCUAAUACCGCAUAAUAUCUUCGACCGCAAGGUUGAUGAUCAAAGGAGUAAUCCGCUUUUGGAGGGGGUCGCGGCUGAUUAGCUAGUUGGUGAGGUAACGGCUCACCAAGGCAGUGAUCAGUAUCCGGCCUGAGAGGGCGCACGGACACACUGGAACUGAAACACGGUCCAGACUCCUACGGGAGGCAGCAGUGGGGAAUUUUGCACAAUGGGGGAAACCCUGAUGCAGCAACGCCGCGUGGAGGAUGAAGGUCUUUGGAUUGUAAACUCCUUUCGAUCGGGACGAUUAU